Molecule: ribosomal RNA, 253 nt
Filed under: uncultured bacterium
Lineage: Bacteria
Description: partial 16S ribosomal RNA
Rfam family: Bacterial small subunit ribosomal RNA
Source: RNAcentral
UACGGAGGGUGCAAGCGUUAUCCGGAUUCACUGGGUUUAAAGGGUGCGUAGGUGGGCAGGUAAGUCAGUGGUGAAAUCUCCGGGCUUAACCCGGAAACUGCCGUUGAUACUAUCUGCCUUGAAUAUCGUGGAGAUGAGCGGAAUAUGUCAUGUAGCGGUGAAAUGCUUAGAUAUGACAUAGAACACCGAUUGCGAAGGCAGCUCGUUACACGGUUAUUGACACUGAGGCACGAAAGCGUGGGGAUCAAACAGG